RNAcentral lists this non-coding RNA (71 nucleotides) under unclassified sequences. RNAcentral describes it as "RAGATH-16 RNA". It matches the Rfam family "RAGATH-16 RNA". Rfam says of the family: Environmental. Nearby to self-cleaving ribozyme genes The record is from Rfam by way of RNAcentral.
CUCCUACUUAUGGAGCGGCGCUGGUGCGUGAGGAUUAAACUCACGGUUCGAGCUUGUGAAUAUCCCCAGAG